AUGUGAGUCAUCAGAAAGCUUGUUUAAAUGCAGUGUUUGAUUCACAAGGACUAGGGUGAUGCCAAAAUUUGUAUUUCUAGCAAGUUCCCAGAUCAUUUGGAU
This 102-nucleotide microRNA precursor is filed under the name Marmota monax (woodchuck). The record is from RNAcentral. Lineage: Eukaryota; Metazoa; Chordata; Mammalia; Rodentia; Sciuridae.